UCUAGAACUCGAGAUAUGGGUUGAACACUGAACAAUGUCUGGGCUGCAGGAUAGAUUCCGACUUUUUCUUUUUUUGCUACAAUUUGAACUUGAAAACGACCGUUUUGAAUUUUGGACUCUUAUUAAAGUUUUAGGCCUAUGUCUUAGCUUUCCAUC
Populus trichocarpa (black cottonwood) is the source of this 156-nucleotide non-coding RNA. The record is from Rfam. Lineage: Eukaryota; Viridiplantae; Streptophyta; Magnoliopsida; Malpighiales; Salicaceae.